CUCCCUGGUCCUAAAGAGCAGCCAGCCACCAGAGAGAGUGUUAUCCAGGGCUCUGAGUAGUGUGGCGUCCCUGCUGAGACUCUGGAGGGUUCAGUGUCUGGACCUGACUGACUUCUGGAUCCAGGGUCACUCUCUCAUCACACUGCUGUGUCACCAGGGACCUCUCUCUCUCAGACUGAACUCAGACACUCUGCAGCAGCUGACUGUAGUUGUGUAUGAAGCUCAGGACAAGGACUUGACUCAGUGGUUCCUGGAGAAGGUUGGUGGAGACCUGACCUCCUGCAGGCUGGACUGGGAAGUGCUUCUCUCUCUGCUGCAGCAUUCAACCCACAACAUCACUGUGGACCUCAGGAAGAACGGGCUUCUAGAGAAGAACAUCUCAGAUCUUCUCCCCUUUCUGGGAAGAGUUACUCUCAAGAGGUCCAGUUCCAGCUUUGUAAAGUCCUCCAUCAGACAGAUCUAUGACAGUAGAGACAGUGACUGUGUGUCCAGUUUGUUGAGGUCUUCAGACCAUUGGAUCAACCUGAACAGCAGAGAGCUGGACAGAGUGGACUGUACUGCUCUGUGUUUUACCCUGCAUGACAGCCACUAAGUCAAAGUCAACCUGCUGUGGACCUCCAUACCACCGGGGGCGAUAGAGAGCAUCCUGCCUCUUCUGGACAGAGUCUCCCAACUCAGUGUUGACAGGAAGUUACUGUUGAGUUUCCUCCAGUGCUGUGCUGCCUCUCAGAUCCAGCAAGGGGCACCAUCACCACCAACAGCAGUAUGGCUGCUCAGGUCUCUGCACUACAGGCUGGACUUCUCCUGCUCCUCCUCUGUGGACCUGUCAGCUCAGGACCAGGGGGAGGCUCUGUGUCUGACCACUGACCACUGCAGGGCCAUCAGCUCUGUUCUGAAGCAGAACCAACACAGCACCCAGCUGGUCCAGAACCAGGUCCAGCUCAUCCUAAGAGACUGUGAGGUGGAGGACAGAGCACUGAGAGAGCUGCUUCCCAUCCUGCAUAUUGUCAAGCUGAGCCCCAGCAAAGCUCUGCUACUUCAGCUGCUGGACCUUGUGUGUGAGGGGAUUGAAGAGGGGCUGCUGAGGCACACAGAGUCCCUGUGCAGAGCCCUGGAUGGGGAGCUGGACCUCAGUGAGACCAGGCUGGACCAGAAGGCCUGUGGAUCUCUGGCCCUGGUUCUGGAACACUCAGAGGGUCUGUCAGAACUGGACCUCAGCCACUGUCAACUCACAGACCACCACCUACAGCCCCUGAUCACACACCUGCAUAAAGUACAAGUCCUGGACCUGAGUCACAAUGACAUCACUGAUGCUCUGACUGACAGAAUACUCCAACUGGUCUCUACCAACACUUCAAUACACACCGUACGACUCUUCAACAACAGAAUCAUGAACAGCACCGCUUUCCUCACAGACAAGAGGUUUGAGAUUGGAAUAAACAUCAGGUCUUGGUCCAGGAAGAGGAAGAGAUGGCUGUUAGGUCUUAGUCCAGGAAGAGGAAGAGAUGGCUGUUAGGUCUUAGUCCAGGAAGAGGAAGAGGAAGAGAUGGCUGUUAGGUCUUAGUCCAAAUCAAAAUAAAAUGUUAUUGGUCACCUACACAUGGUUAGCAGAUGUUAUUGCGAGUGUAGUGAAAUGCUUAUGCUUCUAGAUCUGCCAGGGCAGCAGUAUCUAACAGGUAAUAUCUAACAAUUUCACAACAAAACCUAAUACACACAGUCUAGUAAAGGAAUGAGAUGAGAAUAUAUAAAUAUAUAAUAUAUGGAUGAGCAGUGACAGAGCAGCUAAGAUGCAAUAGAUAGUAAAGAAUAGAUAGUGAAGGAUACAGUAUAUACAUAUGAGAUGAGUAAUGUGAGAUAUGUAAACAUUCUUAAUAAAAUCAACUAUAUGUACUGAACUGGUCUGAUGCUUUAAGCAAGCUGUUUGAUUAAAUAAUGAAGACACAGAAAUGACUCGAGGGAGCCAGAGAUCAACAUAGCCUUACAAGAAGAAAAAACCCUCUUCCUUAGCCUACUCCUCCCGCUGCUGCUGGCCUUUGUACAUUCUGACGUUAUGCUCCUAAAGUUUCUGAUAAUAGGCUACACCAGCAGUCGGCAACCUUUUCCAAUUUAUCUGACCAUUUCUACUGAUCUGGUGCCAGUUAGGAUUUUCAUAUUCACAUUUUACUGGAACAGUUUCAUUUAAUUUAUAGUCGUCUUUGUAUCUCAACAUCAUUCUGUGGUUAAUCUAUAUUCUAUCUAAAUGAAAAUGAUACAAAUAUAAAAUAAAUGUUUAUUGCCAUUGCUAACUAUGUAAUAAUAGUCCACAUAAAGCCAAAACAUUUAAACAUUGCAGCCAGCAGUUAGAAAAUAUCCAGAUAAAAAAUAAAUAUCCUAUAAAUCACAUUGGCUACGCCUGUUCUGUUUGAGACCUACAGGGAAGAAAUCUCACCGCUGCUCUGACUGUGGGAAAGGUUGCAAAUCUUCAUCAGAACUUAAAAUA
This 2479-nucleotide long non-coding RNA is filed under the name Salmo salar (Atlantic salmon). RNAcentral describes it as "lncRNA (ENSSSAG00000090402.1)". Lineage: Eukaryota; Metazoa; Chordata; Actinopteri; Salmoniformes; Salmonidae. The record is from RNAcentral.